GUUAUAUGGUCAAGUGAAGAAGCGCAUACGGUGGAUGCCUUGGCAGUCAGAGGCGAUGAAAGACGUGGUAGCCUGCGAAAAGCUUCGGGGAGUCGGCAAACAGACUUUGAUCCGGAGAUCUCUGAAUGGGGGAACCCACCUAGGAUAACCUAGGUAUCUUGUACUGAAUCCAUAGGUGCAAGAGGCGAACCAGGGGAACUGAAACAUCUAAGUACCCUGAGGAAAAGAAAUCAACCGAGAUUCCCUUAGUAGUGGCGAGCGAACGGGGAUUAGCCCUUAAGCUUCAUUGAUUUUAGCGGAACGCUCUGGAAAGUGCGGCCAUAGUGGGUGAUAGCCCCGUACGCGAAAGGAUCUUUGAAGUGAAAUCGAGUAGGACGGAGCACGAGAAACUUUGUCUGAACAUGGGGGGACCAUCCUCCAAGGCUAAAUACUACUGACUGACCGAUAGUGAACCAGUACCGUGAGGGAAAGGCGAAAAGAACCCCGGAGAGGGGAGUGAAAUAGAACCUGAAACCGUAUGCGUACAAGCAGUGGGAGCCUACUUGUUAGGUGACUGCGUACCUUUUGUAUAAUGGGUCAGCGACUUAUAUUCAGUGGCAAGCUUAACCGUAUAGGGUAGGCGUAGCGAAAGCGAGUCUUAAUAGGGCGUUUAGUCGCUGGGUAUAGACCCGAAACCGGGCGAUCUAUCCAUGAGCAGGUUGAAGGUUAGGUAACACUGACUGGAGGACCGAACCCACUCCCGUUGAAAAGGUAGGGGAUGACUUGUGGAUCGGAGUGAAAGGCUAAUCAAGCUCGGAGAUAGCUGGUUCUCCUCGAAAGCUAUUUAGGUAGCGCCUCAUGUAUCACUCUGGGGGGUAGAGCACUGUUUCGGCUAGGGGGUCAUCCCGACUUACCAAACCGAUGCAAACUCCGAAUACCCAGAAGUGCCGAGCAUGGGAGACACACGGCGGGUGCUAACGUCCGUCGUGAAAAGGGAAACAACCCAGACCGCCAGCUAAGGUCCCAAAGUUGUGGUUAAGUGGUAAACGAUGUGGGAAGGCUUAGACAGCUAGGAGGUUGGCUUAGAAGCAGCCACCCUUUAAAGAAAGCGUAAUAGCUCACUAGUCGAGUCGGCCUGCGCGGAAGAUGUAACGGGGCUCAAACCACACACCGAAGCUGCGGGUGUCACGCAAGUGACGCGGUAGAGGAGCGUUCUGUAAGCCUGUGAAGGUGAGUUGAGAAGCUUGCUGGAGGUAUCAGAAGUGCGAAUGCUGACAUGAGUAACGACAAUGGGUGUGAAAA
RNAcentral lists this ribosomal RNA (1281 nucleotides) under Pseudomonas sp. HMSC069G05. RNAcentral describes it as "bacterial LSU rRNA". It matches the Rfam family "Bacterial large subunit ribosomal RNA", at positions 1 to 1327 of the family's 2925-position model. Lineage: Bacteria; Pseudomonadati; Pseudomonadota; Gammaproteobacteria; Pseudomonadales; Pseudomonadaceae. The record is from RNAcentral.